GAUUCCCCCCGCCGUGCCCCUUUCGUAGCUGACCAAAUUUGGGCUGCUUCCGGCUGUGACGGCGGGUAUCCCCCAUGCCUUAAAAGGACAGGCGGCAGAGCGACGUCGAGGAGCGGAGAGAAGGGUUUCCUUCACUGCGGCAGAGAGAGGUUAUACAACCGGCAGAGGACAGGAAACACGGAGGGAGACGCAGAUCGCGGGUUUGGCGCAUCAGAGACCCACAUUUGUUUAAUCUGUUGCAACAUUUGAGUUGGAGAUGCUCACAGCGAGCAGACACAGACAACGCGUGGAUUUCAAAGCACAAACAGCUGCUAAAUCACAGAAAAUGUCAACUAGAAAUCAUUUUUGCCUUCCUUAUGGCGCCCCCUCCAGUGGCGCCCGCUGAGUGCGGAUCACAACUUUUUGCGCCACCAGUUCAGCACUGCAGACACAUCUCUGGCCCAUAUGUGACAUUCCUGCACAGCCACAUGCAGCUGCUGGGAUGUGGUCGCCAUGGAGACAGAUGGAGGCUCCAGGCCGGCGUUACAUAAAAGGAGCUGGAUCAUCAGAACCUGCAGAACCUCCUGGUUCUGUUCGGAGCGUCGAGAUCGUCCUCUGAGAUUCACGUCGUUCUCAUCCUCCAUGGUUUCAGCAUCAGAGUGUUUGACCUGCAGGGAGAUUUUUUUAGCCGAGACGUUGAAGCAGCACCUGUUGUCACAGUUUUCCUGCCGCCUGAAAGAGCCGGACCAGAACCGCUGCGCUGGCCUCUCAACGCGCUAUAUCAGGACAGAUGAUGGGGAAAUGUGUGUGUGGGCGCUGUUGCCAUGGCAGCGUGCCUCCGCCGGCUGCACACACACCGCCACCGAGACGCUGAAGCGCUCGGACUCUCGUGGCGUCAGCGGCGCUGAUUCACGUUUCUUAAAGUUAAUGGAUCAGUUCAGACGUCAAGAUGGCCGCCGUCAGGGAAACGGCAGCAGGAGAGAGAGAGCAAAUGUUCAGGCUGGACUAUAUUUAGCUACAAACAGGCAGAACCCGGCCAGAAAACCCAAAAUAUCAGCUUCACAAAGUCUGAAAUGAUUCAACAGGAAUGUAUCAUAACUGAGAAAUAUCAAAACACAAACUGAGCAGGAAAGUAGAAACUCUGAACGCAGCGAUCCACUUUUACCUCUUCUGGUACCUGAGCAUCGGACAGAACCGAUCAGAACAGCUGAACUGAUUUUAAAUGUUUCUUUUAUUAAACUGGAACAUAAAUAAACUGAAUUACUAAUUUAUUUAAUAAAUCUGCAUCAGUGAACAAUUAAUUACAAGCUAUUGAUUAAAAACAUGUCAAACUUU
Molecule: long non-coding RNA, 1314 nt
Organism: Xiphophorus hellerii (green swordtail)
Lineage: Eukaryota; Metazoa; Chordata; Actinopteri; Cyprinodontiformes; Poeciliidae
Exons: 2
Source: RefSeq, a predicted model, not a curated record